Molecule: ribosomal RNA, 1072 nt
Filed under: Dactylaria belliana
Lineage: Eukaryota; Fungi; Ascomycota; Leotiomycetes; Helotiales
Description: SSU rRNA
Rfam family: Eukaryotic small subunit ribosomal RNA
Source: RNAcentral
CAUGUCUAAAAGUAUAAGCAAUCAUACUGUGAAACUGCGAAUGGCUCAUUAAAUCAGUUAUCGUUUAUUUGAUAGUACCUUACUACUUGGAUAACCGUGGUAAUUCUAGAGCUAAUACAUGCUAAAAACCUCGACUUCGGAAGGGGUGUAUUUAUUAGAUAAAAAACCAAUGCCCUUCGGGGCUCCUUGGUGAUUCAUAAUAACUUAACGAAUCGCAUGGCCUUGCGCCGGCGAUGGUUCAUUCAAAUUUCUGCCCUAUCAACUUUCGAUGGUAGGAUAGUGGCCUACCAUGGUUUUAACGGGUAACGGGGAAUUAGGGUUCUAUUCCGGAGAGGGAGCCUGAGAAACGGCUACCACAUCCAAGGAAGGCAGCAGGCGCGCAAAUUACCCAAUCCCAAUUCGGGGAGGUAGUGACAAUAAAUACUGAUACGGGGCUCUUUCGGGUCUUGUAAUUGGAAUGAGUACAAUUUAAAUCCCUUAACGAGGAACAAUUGGAGGGCAAGUCUGGUGCCAGCAGCCGCGGUAAUUCCAGCUCCAAUAGCGUAUAUUAAAGUUGUUGCAGUUAAAAAGCUCGUAGUUGAACCUUGGGCCUGGCUGGUCGGUCCGCCUAAUCGCGUGCACGGAUUCGGUCGGGUCUUUCCUUCUGGGGAGCCCUAUGCCCUUCACUGGGUGUAGUGGGGAACCAGGACUUUUACUUUGAAAAAAUUAGAGUGUUCAAAGCAGGCCUUUGCUCGAAUACAUUAGCAUGGAAUAAUAGAAUAGGACGUGCGGUUCUAUUUUGUUGGUUUCUAGGACCGCCGUAAUGAUUAAUAGGGAUAGUCGGGGGCAUCAGUAUUCAAUUGUCAGAGGUGAAAUUCUUGGAUUUAUUGAAGACUAACUACUGCGAAAGCAUUUGCCAAGGAUGUUUUCAUUAAUCAGUGAACGAAAGUUAGGGGAUCGAAGACGAUCAGAUACCGUCGUAGUCUUAACCAUAAACUAUGCCGACUAGGGAUCGGACGGUGGUUUUUUUUAUGCCCCGUUCGGCACCUUACGAGAAAUCAAAGUUUUUGGGUUCGGGGGGGGAGUAUGGUCG